RNAcentral lists this ribosomal RNA (495 nucleotides) under uncultured bacterium. RNAcentral describes it as "partial 16S ribosomal RNA". It matches the Rfam family "Bacterial small subunit ribosomal RNA", at positions 28 to 507 of the family's 1533-position model. The record is from RNAcentral.
GAUGGACGCUGGCGGCGUGCCUAAUACAUGCAAGUAGAACGCUGAAGGAGGAGCUUGCUCUUCUGGAUGAGUUGCGAACGGGUGAGUAACGCGUAGGUAACCUGCCUGGUAGCGGGGGAUAACUAUUGGAAACGAUAGCUAAUACCGCAUGACAACAGUUAUUGCAUGAUAACUGUUUAAAAGGGGCAACUGCUCCACUACCAGAUGGACCUGCGUUGUAUUAGCUAGUUGGUGAGGUAACGGCUCACCAAGGCGACGAUACAUAGCCGACCUGGGAGGGUGAUCGGCCACACUGGGACUGAGACACGGCCCAGACUCCUACGGGAGGCAGCAGUAGGGAAUCUUCGGCAAUGGACGGAAGUCUGACCGAGCAACACCGCGUGAGUGAAGAAGGUUUUCGGAUCGUAAAGCUCUGUUGUAAGAGAAGAACGAGUGUGAGAGUGGAAAGUUCACACUGUGACGGUAUCUUACCAGAAAGGGACGGCUAACUACGUG